GAUGAACGCUAGCGGGAGGCUUAACACAUGCAAGUCGAGGGGCAGCAUGGAGUAGCAAUACUCUGAUGGCGACCGGCAGACGGGUGAGUAACGCGUAUGUAACCUACCCUGUACAGGGGGGAUAACCCGGAGAAAUUCGGACUAAUACCCCAUGGAAAUAUUGAGAGGCAUCUUGAGAUAUUUAAAGUUCCGGCGGUACGGGAUGGGCAUGCGUAACAUUAGCUAGUUGGUAGGGUAAUAGCCUACCAAGGCAACGAUGUUUAGGGGUCCUGAGAGGGUGAUCCCCCA
This 288-nucleotide ribosomal RNA is filed under the name uncultured Bacteroidota bacterium. Its description in RNAcentral is "uncultured Bacteroidetes bacterium partial 16S ribosomal RNA". It matches the Rfam family "Bacterial small subunit ribosomal RNA", at positions 28 to 310 of the family's 1533-position model. The record is from RNAcentral. Lineage: Bacteria; Pseudomonadati; Bacteroidota.